GAUGAACGCCGGCGGCGUGCCUAAUACAUGCAAGUCGAGCGAACGGGCGAGAAGCUUGCUUCUCUGAUGUUAGCGGCGGACGGGUGAGUAACACGUGGAUAACCUACCUAUAAGACUGGGAUAACUUCGGGAAACCGGAGCUAAUACCGGAUGAUAUUUUGAACCGCAUGGUUCAAAAGUGAAAGACGGUCUUGCUGUCACUUAUAGAUGGAUCCGCGCUGCAUUAGCUAGUUGGUAAGGUAACGGCUUACCAAGGCAACGAUGCAUAGCCGACCUGAGAGGGUGAUCGGCCACACUGGAACUGAGACACGGUCCAGACUCCUACGGGAGGCAGCAGUAGGGAAUCUUCCGCAAUGGGCGAAAGCCUGACGGAGCGACGCCGCGUGAGUGAUGAAGGUCUUCGGAUCGUAAAACUCUGUUAUUAGGGAAGAACAUAUGUGUAAGUAACUGUGCACAUCUUGACGGUACCUAAUCAGAAAGCCACGGCUAACUACGUG
This 497-nucleotide ribosomal RNA is filed under the name uncultured bacterium. RNAcentral describes it as "partial 16S ribosomal RNA". It matches the Rfam family "Bacterial small subunit ribosomal RNA", at positions 28 to 507 of the family's 1533-position model. The record is from RNAcentral.